GGAGGGAUACCCAAGUGGCUAAAGGGGGCAGACUGUAAAUCUGUUAGCGACGCUUUCGAAGGUUCGAAUCCUUCUCCCUCCACCA
Molecule: transfer RNA, 85 nt
Filed under: Firmicutes bacterium HGW-Firmicutes-15
Lineage: Bacteria; Bacillati; Bacillota
Description: tRNA-Tyr
Rfam family: tRNA
About the family: Transfer RNA (tRNA) molecules are approximately 80 nucleotides in length. Their secondary structure includes four short double-helical elements and three loops (D, anti-codon, and T loops).
Source: RNAcentral